RNAcentral lists this long non-coding RNA (430 nucleotides) under Populus trichocarpa (black cottonwood). RNAcentral describes it as "long non-coding RNA (PTRI_LNC003648)". The record is from RNAcentral. Lineage: Eukaryota; Viridiplantae; Streptophyta; Magnoliopsida; Malpighiales; Salicaceae.
AACAAAUUUAUUAGGCAAGUUAAUCAUGAAUAUCAUGUUAGGAUAUUUUGUAAUCCUAAAAAUCAAACAAAUCAUACUAGAAUAUCUCACAAUCAUAAUAUUGAAGAUCAUGCUACAAUAUCCCACAAUCCUAAAGAUCAUAAAGAUAAUGUUAAAUUCAAACUCCAUGUAAUUGUUACAUACAUACUAUGGAGUUUGAAUUUAACAAGGAUUGUGGGAUAUAUAUAUAUAUAUAUAUGUGGAUGUAUCAAUACAAUAUUAUUAAGUUUUACUCGAACCAACUCAUCCAUUUCUUAGUUUUAACUUAGUAUUAGAGCUACACGGUAUACACAAUGAUAAUCCAUGGCCAAUUUUUUUUCCUUUAAAUAAUAUUUCUGCAUUUACUCCAUCAAAUAUUAAAAUUGGAUUACAUAAUUCACCCUAAUAUUGA